Molecule: ribosomal RNA, 368 nt
Filed under: uncultured bacterium
Lineage: Bacteria
Description: bacterial SSU rRNA
Rfam family: Bacterial small subunit ribosomal RNA
Source: RNAcentral
UGACAUCGAGCGACGAACCAAGAGAUCGGUUCUUCCUUCGGGACGCGAAGACAGGUGGUGCAUGGUUGUCGUCAGCUCGUGUCGUGAGAUGUUGGGUUAAGUCCCGCAACGAGCGCAACCCUUAUCAUUAGUUGCUACGCAAGAGCACUCUAAUGAGACUGCCGUUGAUAAAACGGAGGAAGGUGGGGAUGACGUCAAAUCAUCAUGCCCCUUAUGACCUGGGCUACACACGUACUACAAUGGUAAUCAAACAGAGGGAAGCAACUCAGCGAUGUGAAGCAAAUCCCGAAAAAUCAUCUCAGUUCAGAUUGCAGGCUGCAACUCGCCUGCAUGAAGUCGGAAUUGCUAGUAAUCGCGAUCAGCUGAGA